RNAcentral lists this ribosomal RNA (119 nucleotides) under Cyprinodon variegatus (sheepshead minnow). Lineage: Eukaryota; Metazoa; Chordata; Actinopteri; Cyprinodontiformes; Cyprinodontidae. The record is from RNAcentral.
GCUUACGGCCAUUACAUCCUGAACACGCCUGAUAUCGUCUUAUCUCGGAAGAUAAGCAAGGUUGGGCCUGGUUAGUACUUGGAUAGGAGACUGCCUGGGAAAUCUGGGUGCUAUAAUUA